UACCUUUUUUGUUAUUUAUUUUCCUUGAUACGUUUAUUGAUGAGUUACCAAGAGUUUCACAUAGGUUUUCCAUAUCUGAUAAGCCAGAUUUAUUGUUAUGUAAAUUUGGAAUUGUUUUUUCUUUUCCCUGAAAAAUACUUUUGCUUGCUGUGAAGGGAAAACUCCAUUGAUGAUAAUAUACUUGUUCCCCUAAUCUCUUGAGUUACUGACAGCUUGUUUUGGUAUUAGGACAGUAGCUUCUUAAUACUACUGAAGUACUAAAGUAAAAAAAGUUAAGUAAUCUCAACUCAUGAUUUUUCUGUCCUGUGUGAUAGAAUGAGUGCUCAAAAUGUAGCCACAUCUGACUCAUUUUUUUAAUAGGAAUAUAGGAAAUAAAGUGGAACAGAAGAAAUUAAAAUGUAAAUGAUUUACAUACCAGUAUUUUCAGUAAAUGCUGACUAUAAAUUGGUAUACUAAUAGAUACAUUAUUCUAAUCUGUUAAUCUUUUGUUCUGUCUUCUGCAAAUCUGCAUUUAUUCAUUUCCAUUUUGAAUGCUUCUUGCUAUUGGACAUGUAUUUGAAAGAGCUUAAUUGACUGUUGCCUAAAGCUGAUUGAACUGAAAGAGAUACAUUUGCACUGAUUUUUAUUUUUUUUUAGGGCUUUGGAUGUUUCAAGUUUCUGGUUACAUUUUUUAUAGUACAGUUAACUUGCACAUUCUGGUGUAAAAAAUACUGUAAUAAAUUGGACUGUAUGUCUUCAUUUGAACAGGAACAGACCUAUUACUCUUUCUUAUUCCAAGUACUCUUGCACCAUCAAAAAUAUUAAACAAGAAAUACCUUUCUGCAAAGUAUUGUGCUCUUUGCAAGUACAGUGGUAUCAUGACCUGUUUCUCAUUUAGUCUAGUUUGCCACAUUUAAUUGCUAUUAACCUUUGCAGAAACUGAUCAGUGUUCAGACAGGCAUGAUUUUAGCCCUGGUGCUCAGCACCUAUAAUGGAGAAAAAUGUAUUUCUCCCUCCUACCUUUUGCUCCCAAUGUCCAUUACUGUGAAUAAUUAGAGAACCUGUCAGAGCUUUUGCAGCCUGUUCAAGAUCUCGAAUGUGAGCUUAAUGCUGUCCCCACCUUUACUUCACAUUUUGCGUAUUUAAUCUGAUCAUUCUUGACGUAGCUAUUACAUCUGACAAGCUCUUCUCUUCUUUAGUCAUCUGCUGCAGUUUAAUUAGCAGGGUGUUUUCUCUGAUCUAUGUGCUUUGCCCUCUUGCAAACCCAAGAGAAACAGUGCUAGAAUCUUGUGCUCGUUUGCAGAAACAGCUUGGAUUUUUGUAAUGAGGUGGAAUAUAACAGGCUUAAAUAAAGUUCAGCUUGAGAAAAGGUGCCUUUAAAUCAAAUAACUUGUAUCUUUAUUUUUAUUUGCAAUUGAGAAUCAGUUGCUUGUUCCUUACCUAAAAGGACUGUAUGCAUAGUGUAGAAAUUUAUAUGAAAAUGAGAAGCUGCAGGAAUUUUUCUAGGGAGGCUUAGUAAUAUGCCAAAGAUAAAACAGUUCUGAGGCAGGGUGUAAAUAAAUAACCAGGAAAAACUUCCACGUAUGUAAGUGAUUCCUUAUAAAGAAGAGUCUGUCAUUUGUGCAGAAGAAACAGCAAAUAUAAAAUGAUAAAUAUGAAGAGAUUACCGUUUCUUGGGCUGUUUUUUAAAAUAAGAUAUUUAAGAUGCUGUUCUCUGCAUUUUUUCAACCAGUGGGAUGUAGAGCCUUUUGCUGGAGGAGGAUUUCCUCCCAGAAGAAAAGCACUGGUAGGCUUGCUGCUUUGUUUAAAAUGCUACAAUUGUAUGGACUUCUGCUGUCCUCCUGUCCACAUUCUUUUUAUUAGUUUAAGAAAUUAGUUUAAGAAAGUUUUUAUUAGUUUAAGAAAUUAAGGGUGUUGUAGCCACUUCCACCAUAAUUGUAAUUAUGAAAGCAGUACUUGAGACAUAAUUGAUUGGUUUCAGUAAAACUAAUCAAGUUGCACUUACUUCUGACAGUUUAAUAUCUGGCUUUCCCUUCUUCCCCUAGUGGCAAAUCCUAUUUUUACCAUGCUCUGGUGUGUAAUACUGUAUUUAUCUUUAUGAUUCACUUAAUCUGUGGAACUCAUUGUGGCAGUUUUUUAAAGAGCCAGAGGUACACUCCAGUGAUAAUGGUUAAAUCAUGAUGUUAAAGACAUCCUUUAUAAUUCGUUCACAUAAUUAUUCAGACUUCUAGUUGAGUGGGCCUGGCACUUGUUCUGCUGCAGGAUCACAAUGACAGCCUGUGGGUCCAUGGUACCAGUCUUUUUCCUAAGGACCUGAGACUGUGUACCCACUGUGUUAUAUCACUGCAGGGCACUGUAGGGCUCUCAGACUAUGUGCAGCCAUGUCCAUGUCCCUCAUCAUCAGUCUGGACUGCCAGAAAGGUGGCUUUGGAUCUACAAAAAGGGCAGAUUAAACUUGUUUCUUUCUCAAAAUAUGGAAUGUGGGCUUUCAUCAAAAGAACUUUCAUCAAAAGAACCUCAUAGUAUCGAAGUAAGCUGAUGCUGUAUGUUAUACAGCAUAGGCAAGAGCCACUGAGGCACUGAGGCUUGGUGUCUCAGGUGUCUCUGUAAAGCAGCUUCAAAAACCAAUGAAUAUUUGUCUUUGAGCUGUCAGAGAUAGUUCUUGAACUCAGAAUCUCUGUUUUCCCUGAGUUAGCUCAGGGUGCUGCGUGAGAUUUUUUAGUUCUUGGUGACUGUAUAGUGUUUACUGUAACUUGCAAUUAGAAUAGUUGAGAAGUCCUCUCAGAGUAAGAUAAAGUUCUCAUGGUUCCUGUUUGGCCAUACUGUGGUUACACAGUAAUCUCUGUAACAUCUCUGUGAGGUCAGCUCAACAGAGAGACAUUUGCAUUCUUCUUGUGUGGGUUAGGCAUCCCAAAAGGUUAAGAACUGAUCCCUGUGACUUUGCCAAGAGCAGAAGUACACUGAAGAGACAGAUGUUCUGUAUCCUAACAGGAAUAGAGCCAAGAUGUACAAAAGCAAAACUUAUGCUACAGAAAUUACAGAGUGAAGGUAAAUUUCAUCUGGGUUUGUGUUUGGUAACAAAAUGCAUAUUGAGAUAAAAAAAACAAAAA
Non-coding RNA from Taeniopygia guttata (zebra finch), 3089 nucleotides. The record is from RefSeq and is a predicted model, not a curated record. NCBI's taxonomy places the organism in Eukaryota, Metazoa, Chordata, Aves, Passeriformes, Estrildidae.